RNAcentral lists this ribosomal RNA (419 nucleotides) under Eremocosta spinipalpis. RNAcentral's name for it is "partial 16S ribosomal RNA". The record is from RNAcentral. Lineage: Eukaryota; Metazoa; Arthropoda; Arachnida; Solifugae; Eremobatidae.
AGUGAUUUAUUAAAUAGCCGCAGUAUUUUGACUGUGCAAAGGUAGCAUAAUAAAUUGUCUUUUAAUUGGAGGCUGGAAUGAAUGAUAGGAUGUGAUGGAUACUGUCUUUAUAGUAGUUGAUUGAAAUUUACUUUUUGAUGAAAAGGUUAAGAUUUGGUUGGUAGACGAGAAGACCCUAUCAAGCUUGAUUUUGAUUGAAGUUUGACUUUGUUUAUUUGUGGGUGGAUUUUGGUUUAAGAUUUUGUUGGGGCAAUGUUUGAAUAUAUUGUAAUUUUUUAUUUUUUGUUUUGUUUUGAUCCAUUAUUAAUGAUUGAAGGAGCAAGUUACUGUAGGGAUAACAGCGUAAUUAGUUUGGAGAGUUCAUAUUGGUAAAUUAGAUUGCGACCUSGAKGUUGGUUKAAUGAUUCKUUAGGGUGUAG